Molecule: long non-coding RNA, 519 nt
Filed under: Physcomitrium patens
Lineage: Eukaryota; Viridiplantae; Streptophyta; Bryopsida; Funariales; Funariaceae
Description: long non-coding RNA (PPAT_LNC002337)
Source: RNAcentral
GUGAUAGUCAUGAGCUAGGGUAAGCUUGGUGCUACCUCUUUGUUUUUUUGUUUUCUUUGUUCUUGAAGAGUAAUGGAUAAUUUUUGAAUAUUGAAAAGUGAGUCUGUGGAAUAAAUCAGAGAUUGAUUUAUGAAUUAUUGAUUAUGUAAUUGGAGUACUGAGUGAUUGAAUUAUAUGAAGAGUUAUUGAAAGAUUAUAAUUGUUGUUUAUUGAGAGCUGUAUGUGUUUUAGACAAAGGAAGUUGGUGAUUACAAAAAUUUUGUAAAUUCAGAUUGGUUGGAGUGAAGUCUGUUAUUUCUGGUGUUGGAUAGAAAUUAUGUGUUUUGAGCAGUCUUUUGAGAGUGCAGGGUUGUACACUGUUGUUAUCAGUUGAUAGAAGAGUAUUGUUACUAGGAGAAAGCAUUGUAGUAUUUCUUAGUAUUUUAGUGGUUUGAAAUACGGUUGAUUGUGUGACCCUAAGAAGCAAAAUUCAUGCACUUAGUCUUUUUUUAUGUUUGAAUUCCCCUAUACAUGUUUAUU